Molecule: ribosomal RNA, 571 nt
Filed under: Monascus ruber
Lineage: Eukaryota; Fungi; Ascomycota; Eurotiomycetes; Eurotiales; Aspergillaceae
Description: LSU rRNA
Rfam family: Eukaryotic large subunit ribosomal RNA
Source: RNAcentral
AAACCAACCGGGAUUGCCUCAGUAACGGCGAGUGAAGCGGCAAGAGCUCAAAUUUGAAAGCUGGCCCCUCCGGGGUCCGCAUUGUAAUUUGCAGAGGAUGCUUCGGGCUCAGCCCCCGUCUAAGUGCCCUGGAACGGGCCGUCGGAGAGGGUGAGAAUCCCGUCUGGGACGGGGUGCCUGGGUCCAUGUGAAGCUCCUUCGACGAGUCGAGUUGUUUGGGAAUGCAGCUCUAAAUGGGUGGUAAAUUUCAUCUAAAGCUAAAUACUGGCCGGAGACCGAUAGCGCACAAGUAGAGUGAUCGAAAGAUGAAAAGCACUUUGAAAAGAGAGUUAAACAGCACGUGAAAUUGUUGAAAGGGAAGCGCUUGCGAUCAGACUCGCCUGCGGGGUUCAGCCGGCAUUCGUGCCGGUGUACUUCCCCGUGGGCGGGCCAGCGUCGGUUCGGGUGGCCGGUCAAAGGCCCCGGGAAUGUGUCGCCCUCCGGGGCGUCUUAUAGCCCGGGGUGCCAUGCGGCCUACCUGGACCGAGGAACGCGCUUCGGCUCGGACGCUGGCGUAAUGGUCGUAAGCGAC